Molecule: ribosomal RNA, 446 nt
Filed under: uncultured bacterium
Lineage: Bacteria
Description: partial 16S ribosomal RNA
Rfam family: Bacterial small subunit ribosomal RNA
Source: RNAcentral
CCUACGGGGGGCUGCAGUAGGGAAUUUUCGGCAAUGGGGGGAACCCUGACCGAGCAACGCCGCGUGAACGAAGAAGUUCUUCUUAAUGUAAAGUUCUUUUAACCGGGAAGAAAGAGAAAUUUGACGGUACCUGCCGAAUAAGCUCCGGCUAACUACGUGCCAUCAGCCGCGGUAAUACGUAGGGAGCGAGCGGUAUCCGGAAUUAUUGGGCGUAAAGGGUGCGUAGAUGGAAUAGUAAGUCUGAUGUAAAAAUGCUGGGCUCAACCCAGUAGGGCAAAAGAUACUGCAAAGCUAGAGUAUGACAGAGGCAAGGGGAACGACAUGUGUAGCGGUAAAAUGCGUAAAUAUAUGUAAGAACACCAGUGGCGAAGGCGGCAUGCUGGGUCGAGACUGACAUUGAGGCACGAAAGCGUGGGGAGCAAACAGGAUUAGAUACCCGGGUAGUC